GACAACGCUGGCGGCGUGCCUAACACAUGCAAGUCGAACGAAGCAUAGCAAUAUGCUUAGUGGCGGACGGGUGAGUAACGCGUGAACAAUCUGCCCUGUACAAAGGAAUAGCCUCGGGAAACCGGGAUUAAAACCGUAUGACACUUUAGUAUCGCAUGAUAAGAAAGUCAAAUCGAAUAGAGGUAUGGGAUGAGUUCGCGUCUGAUUAGCUGGUUGGCGGGGUAACGGCCCACCAAGGCGACGAUCAGUAGCCGGCCUGAGAGGGUGAACGGCCACACUGGAACUGAGACACGGUCCAGACUCCUACGGGAGGCAGCAGUGGGGAAUAUUGCACAAUGGAGGGAACUCUGAUGCAGCGACGCCGCGUGAGUGAAGAAGGUCUUCGGAUCGUAAAACUCUGUCCUUGGUGAAGAAAAGGACGGUAGCCAAGGAGGAAGCCCCGGCUAACUACGUG
Molecule: ribosomal RNA, 454 nt
Filed under: uncultured bacterium
Lineage: Bacteria
Description: bacterial SSU rRNA
Rfam family: Bacterial small subunit ribosomal RNA
Source: RNAcentral